CUACCGGGGUAUCUAAUCCUGUUCGCUACCCACGCUUUCGUCCAUCAGCGUCAAUCCAUUGUUAGUAACCUGCCUUCGCAAUUGGUAUUCCAUGUAAUAUCUAAGCAUUUCACCGCUACACUACAUAUUCUAGUUACUUCACAAUAAUUCAAGCCCUACAGUAUCAAUGGCAAUUUUUUGGUUAAGCCAAAAACUUUCACCGCUGACUUAUAAGGCCGCCUACGGACCCUUUAAACCCAAUGAUUCCGGAUAACGCUUGGAUCCUCCGUAUUACCGCGGCUGCUGGCAC
RNAcentral lists this ribosomal RNA (289 nucleotides) under uncultured Flavobacterium sp. RNAcentral describes it as "partial 16S ribosomal RNA". Lineage: Bacteria; Pseudomonadati; Bacteroidota; Flavobacteriia; Flavobacteriales; Flavobacteriaceae. The record is from RNAcentral.